GACGAACGCUGGCGGCGUGCCUAAUACAUGCAAGUAGAACGCUGAAGGAGGAGCUUGCUUCUCCGGAUGAGUUGCGAACGGGUGAGUAACGCGUAGGUAACCUGCCUGGUAGCGGGGGAUAACUAUUGGAAACGAUAGCUAAUACCGCAUAACAGUAGAUAUUGCAUGAUAUCUGCUUGAAAGGUGCAAUUGCAUCACUACCAGAUGGACCUGCGUUGUAUUAGCUAGUUGGUGAGGUAACGGCUCACCAAGGCGACGAUACAUAGCCGACCUGAGAGGGGGGUCGGCCGCACUGGGACUGGGACACGGCCCAGAGUCCUACGGGAGGCAGCAGUAGGGUAUCUUCGGCAAUGGACGGAAGUCUGACCGAGCAACGCCGCGUGAGUGGAGAAGGUUUUCGGAUCGUAAAGCUCUGUUGUAAGAGAAGAACGAGUGUGAGAGUGGAAAGUUCACACUGUGACGGUAUCUUACCAGAAAGGGACGGCUAACUACGUG
Molecule: ribosomal RNA, 495 nt
Filed under: uncultured bacterium
Lineage: Bacteria
Description: partial 16S ribosomal RNA
Rfam family: Bacterial small subunit ribosomal RNA
Source: RNAcentral